UAUGUAGGGGGCAAGCGUUAUCCGGAAUUACUGGGUGUAAAGGGUGAGUAGGCGGCAUGGUAAGCCAGAUGUGAAAGCCUUGGGCUUAACCCGAGGAUUGCAUUUGGAACUAUCAAGCUAGAGUACAGGAGAGGAAAGCGGAAUUCCUAGUGUAGCGGUGAAAUGCGUAGAUAUUAGGAAGAACACCAGUGGCGAAGGCGGCUUUCUGGACUGAAACUGACGCUGAGGCACGAAAGCGUGGGGAGCGAACAGG
RNAcentral lists this ribosomal RNA (253 nucleotides) under uncultured bacterium. RNAcentral describes it as "partial 16S ribosomal RNA". It matches the Rfam family "Bacterial small subunit ribosomal RNA", at positions 524 to 776 of the family's 1533-position model. The record is from RNAcentral.